Poecile atricapillus (Black-capped chickadee) is the source of this 411-nucleotide non-coding RNA. Lineage: Eukaryota; Metazoa; Chordata; Aves; Passeriformes; Paridae. The record is from the annotation of a RefSeq genome assembly.
GGGCUCCGGGCGGCCGUGACCCUGCUGGAGUCCGGGGGGGACCUCCAGCCCCCCGGGGGGUCCCUGCACCUCCUCUGCCGCGCCUCUGGAUUUGAUUUUGGGAAAUUUGAGAUGGACUGGUAUCGCCAGAGACCUGGGAAGGGGCUGGAAUACGUUGCAGAGAUCAGCAGCGAUGGUCGCACCACGCUCUACGCUCCAUCCGUGCGUGGCCGGUUCAGCAUCAGCAGGGACAACGGGCAGAGCUCGGUGACGCUGAGCAUGAACAACCUCCAGGACGAGGAUUCCGGGGUUUAUUUCUGUGCCAAAUCUGCUGAGGCUGGUGUUAAUGGUGCUGCUGAUGUGCCGGAAAGUUCCAAGGCCCAGGCCCAGGUGGGUCCCGGCCGUGAGCUGCCGGGGUUUGGCUGGUUCUGA